Molecule: transfer RNA, 89 nt
Filed under: Streptomyces cavourensis
Lineage: Bacteria; Bacillati; Actinomycetota; Actinomycetes; Kitasatosporales; Streptomycetaceae
Description: tRNA-Pro
Source: RNAcentral
CGGUGUCUGGGCGGCGGUGAUCGCGAUGACCGCCUCGGUCGCGGUCGCCCGGCCCGUACCGGGGCCGGGUUCCGCGUCCGGUCCGCCGC